RNAcentral lists this unclassified non-coding RNA (253 nucleotides) under Lactarius tesquorum. RNAcentral's name for it is "partial internal transcribed spacer 2". The record is from RNAcentral. Lineage: Eukaryota; Fungi; Basidiomycota; Agaricomycetes; Russulales; Russulaceae.
AAAUCUCAACCUUCUCGGUUUCUUCUGGAAACCAAAGGAGGCUUGGACUUUGGAGGCCUUUGCUGGCGUCUCUCUCUUUUGAGAGCCCAGCUCCUCUUAAAUGAAUUAGCGGGGUCCUCUUUGCUGGUCCUCGACAUGUGAUAAGAUGUUUCCAUGUCUUGGUUUCUGGCUCUGUUGCUUUUGGGACCCGCUUCUAACCGUCUCGACGAGACAACGUUUGAGCACGUCUCCCGACGCUCUCAACCUCACGAAC